This 626-nucleotide ribosomal RNA is filed under the name Micromonospora sp. Ri2Pt_4023. RNAcentral's name for it is "bacterial SSU rRNA". It matches the Rfam family "Bacterial small subunit ribosomal RNA", at positions 387 to 1024 of the family's 1533-position model. The record is from RNAcentral. Lineage: Bacteria; Bacillati; Actinomycetota; Actinomycetes; Micromonosporales; Micromonosporaceae.
UGCAGCGACGCCGCGUGAGGGAUGACGGCCUUCGGGUUGUAAACCUCUUUCAGCAGGGACGAAGCGCAAGUGACGGUACCUGCAGAAGAAGCACCGGCCAACUACGUGCCAGCAGCCGCGGUAAGACGUAGGGUGCGAGCGUUGUCCGGAUUUAUUGGGCGUAAAGAGCUCGUAGGCGGCUUGUCGCGUCGACCGUGAAAACUUGGGGCUCAACCCCAAGCCUGCGGUCGAUACGGGCAGGCUAGAGUUCGGUAGGGGAGACUGGAAUUCCUGGUGUAGCGGUGAAAUGCGCAGAUAUCAGGAGGAACACCGGUGGCGAAGGCGGGUCUCUGGGCCGAUACUGACGCUGAGGAGCGAAAGCGUGGGGAGCGAACAGGAUUAGAUACCCUGGUAGUCCACGCUGUAAACGUUGGGCGCUAGGUGUGGGGGGCCUCUCCGGUUCUCUGUGCCGCAGCUAACGCAUUAAGCGCCCCGCCUGGGGAGUACGGCCGCAAGGCUAAAACUCAAAGGAAUUGACGGGGGCCCGCACAAGCGGCGGAGCAUGCGGAUUAAUUCGAUGCAACGCGAAGAACCUUACCUGGGUUUGACAUGGCCGCAAAACUUCCAGAGAUGGGAGGUCCUUCGGG